RNAcentral lists this ribosomal RNA (479 nucleotides) under uncultured bacterium. RNAcentral describes it as "bacterial SSU rRNA". It matches the Rfam family "Bacterial small subunit ribosomal RNA", at positions 29 to 507 of the family's 1533-position model. The record is from RNAcentral.
AUGAACGCUAGCGGCAGGCCUAACACAUGCAAGUCGAGGGGUAUUAGGAGCUUGCUCCUAAGAGACCGGCGCACGGGUGCGUAACGCGUAUGCAAUCUACCUUUUACAGAGGGAUAGCCCAGAGAAAUUUGGAUUAAUACCUCAUAGUAUGUGAGAAUCGCAUGGUUUUCACAUUAAAGUUCCAACGGUAAAAGAUGAGCAUGCGUCCCAUUAGCUAGAUGGUAAGGUAACGGCUUACCAUGGCGACGAUGGGUAGGGGUCCUGAGAGGGAGAUCCCCCGCACUGGUACUGAGACACGGACCAGACUCCUACGGGAGGCAGCAGUGAGGAAUAUUGGACAAUGGGCGCAAGCCUGAUCCAGCCAUGCCGCGUGCAGGAUGACGGUCCUAUGGAUUGUAAACUGCUUUUGUACAGGAAGAAACACUCCCUCGUGAGGGAGCUUGACGGCACUGUAAGAAUAAGGAUCGGCUAACUCCGUG